Molecule: long non-coding RNA, 340 nt
Organism: Symphalangus syndactylus (siamang)
Lineage: Eukaryota; Metazoa; Chordata; Mammalia; Primates; Hylobatidae
Source: RefSeq, a predicted model, not a curated record
UUUUACCUUUAUUUGCACUGAGAAAAAUUCAUUGAAAUCCACCUGUAUAGCAGCUUCGUGAAUUCCUAUACUUAAAAUAAAAUUGGAAGCAAAGUUCUUCCCCCAGAUUACAAGGAAUGGAGGCUGGGAAACUACAUUUCUGAGACUCCUUCAUCAUCAGGAUGCCAGAUAAUAUUUUAAAUUCAAUUUAAAAUCGAAGCCCAAGAAACAUGUGUUGUGUGUACAAUUUAUGCUAAACUUUAUGUUGAAUUCUGAAGACAAAACGAUAAAUAUGACAAGACUCCUGCUCUCAAAGCAUCUCACUUCUAGUUGGGAGGAAGAAAGUUGGCAGUAAAUACAC